RNAcentral lists this ribosomal RNA (630 nucleotides) under Triticum aestivum (bread wheat). RNAcentral's name for it is "partial small subunit ribosomal RNA". The record is from RNAcentral. Lineage: Eukaryota; Viridiplantae; Streptophyta; Magnoliopsida; Poales; Poaceae.
AUGAAGGAUGCUGCUGUGAGCCAUGCCACCCCAUCAGCAAGCGUUGAAGUGGACGCUCCCGAGACGAACCUAGGCAAGGAAGAUUCCCGCUCUUCUGACACUGAUUCCAAGCGCAUGCGUGGUGGCACACCUGUGUCCACGACAGAAGCCGCUGAGGCGGCAGUUCAUAAGGAUAUGCCAUCUACAGGUGAGAGUCCUGGCACAACAGCUCCUGCCCCUGUCGGUGCAGAUACUGCUAAGGCGACCGUGCCGCGUGCUGGUCUUCCACCUAGGCGUCGCAGCCCCCACAAGCAACCAACAGUCAUACCCAACGCACCGGCUGUAGCUAGGAGUAGGAGAGACGAGUCUGGGUAUGUUCCUGCGUCCACACUGUUCCCGCCACCUGCCAAAAGCUAUGUGAUGGAGAAACCGCAAGACCGGAGCACAACUGAUGCAGGUGUCAAGCCGGGCACUAGUGACGCAGGUGAACGACCGGAGCAGACUGCGCCUUUACCCGCAGUGGAAAUCCCCAGCAUAAAUCUGCGCACUUCCAGGCUCCCAGUCAAUGUCGGUGUCCCCUACAGCCCAAACAAGAAGAUUGUCAUGAAAGCUGCUGCCGAUACCACUGACAACACGCCCCCCUGCAAAUAA